GCUACAAGCCAGGCUAUCGUUCCGACGUUACAGUCGGGAAGGAAAGUCCGGACAGCACAGAGCAAUGCACCGGUGAAGAGCCGGCUAUUCCGCAAGGGAUAAGAGACAGUGCCACAGAAAAUAACUGCCAUCUCCCUCUCCGCAAGGAGAGGGCAGGGGUGAGGCUGAAAAUGUGAGGUAAGAGCUCACAGCUUGUAUGAGUGAUCAUACAUCCGGGUAAACCUUGCAUGCUGAAAUGCCACAUAUAGUAUCGUUUGAGGACUGCUCGUCCGAGAUACAGGGUAGGCAGAUUGAUGCUGAUAAGUAAUUGUCAGUACAGAUAAAUGAUGGCCCCCGACAGGAUCCGGCUUAUCGGCUUGUAGCUUUU
This 367-nucleotide RNase P RNA is filed under the name Chitinophagaceae bacterium. RNAcentral's name for it is "RNase P RNA component class A". It matches the Rfam family "Bacterial RNase P class A". From Rfam's summary of the family: Ribonuclease P (RNase P) is a ubiquitous endoribonuclease, found in archaea, bacteria and eukarya as well as chloroplasts and mitochondria. Its best characterised activity is the generation of mature 5'-ends of tRNAs by cleaving the 5'-leader elements of precursor-tRNAs. Cellular RNase Ps are ribonucleoproteins. The record is from RNAcentral. Lineage: Bacteria; Pseudomonadati; Bacteroidota; Chitinophagia; Chitinophagales; Chitinophagaceae.